AAUGCUUGCUGUCCGAAGCGUUCGAUCUUUGCCAUUCAAAUGUUCACAGCUUGGAGGCACACAUAAAAAUGCAGUUUUAUUGUUUUGGAUAAAUCACAUUACUAGGGAUAAAAUCACAAUUAUACUGACGUUUGUAAUCAUUAAGAUAACCUAAUAUAAGCUAAAUGGCUAACCUCUAAGUAGCUAUGCCGUCCAUUAGCUAACUAGCCACAUCAUGUGUCAUAUAAACUAACUAUUCAGCAUCCGACUCGUUUACUUACAGCUGCACUAGGUUCAGACAGCAUUCCUGUGUAGUUUAAGAAACCACAGAGCCAGCGCUGAAACAGCGCUGAUAAUGAGACAAUUCGGAGUACAACGCAUUUCUCAUCCCUGGAUUGAGGUACAUUUUCCGAGCCAUAUCUCUCGCCUGCUCAGCGGUGGCUUAAUCUACACAGGAAUUCUGUCCGACCCUAUGUAGCUAAACAAACGGGUCGGAUCUGCUGGCUAAUAAACUAGCUAGCUGGCCAGAGUAACCUCAAAAUGGAUGUAAGGUAAUGUCUUUACUUUUAUCGCAGAACAAUGUCUCAGAAGUAUCCCAGGCUCGUCUAAUCUAGUCCAGAAGAAAUGACAUGGUAAACAAUUGAAUGUGCAUAUGUAACGUUACUAUUAGCUAGCUACCAAUCUAGUAAACUACCAAUCUAGUAAGAGCGCACAAAGAAAAACGUUAUCGAUGGACUAAUUAGAUCCCGGAUGACAUUUAAAAAUACAAAUUGAACUUGAUUCUUAUGUACUCUUAGUGGUCAAGGAGUGACAUUCCACAUGACGAGCAUUAUUACUUAUUUUAACAGGAUUUGAAGCUAUGCCUCAUUUGUUUACAACGUCUAUGACAACUACAUUGUUGUAUGGAUUUACAUAACUUUAUGUACAUUUUUAACUCCCCAGACAUUACGGAUGGAGAAUCCAUACGAACAACCACAGAACGGCUGCAUUUUAUGUAACAUCACAGUGUACUUCAAGAAUGUUCAGCUGCUGGCCCAGUUUAUAUCCCCCCCACAGGAAUAAUUUACGGCAGGCACGUAACAGGUCUGUGGUAAGAAACAGAGGGUGAUUUCCAAAGCCAUAAAGAAAGCUAAUUCGAUGGGAUUCAUGUCUGUAACCCACAAGGACCCACAUUUUAUGAAAGAUCCAAACAUCUUCGACAUCCGGCACUUGGAAUAACUGUCUGCCUGUAUUGUGGAACUAGUGUAGCAUAGAUACUGUAAUCAUUGUGUAUUUAAAUCAUUCUUAAUGUGGAAUAUUGCUUGUUAGUCUAGUCUUUGAGCUGCCAUGCUUGGGUUGAGCCAUGAGACCAAUUAUCGUAACUCACUACACGUGAAAAUAAUGUAAUGUAAUUAUGUACAAGUCCAAUAACAGCUUGAAUAUAAACAAUUAUUGAUAAACACUAAAGUUAUUUUAAUCUCAAG
Molecule: long non-coding RNA, 1442 nt
Organism: Coregonus clupeaformis (lake whitefish)
Lineage: Eukaryota; Metazoa; Chordata; Actinopteri; Salmoniformes; Salmonidae
Exons: 4
Source: RefSeq, a predicted model, not a curated record